Molecule: non-coding RNA, 1200 nt
Filed under: Streptomyces afghaniensis 772
Lineage: Bacteria; Bacillati; Actinomycetota; Actinomycetes; Kitasatosporales; Streptomycetaceae
Description: Bacterial large subunit ribosomal RNA
Rfam family: Bacterial large subunit ribosomal RNA
Source: Rfam by way of RNAcentral
CCACAUCUGGUGAUGAGCUUUGCGCUCUGAGCUGGGGGUGGCCGCAGAGACCAGCGAGAAGCGACUGUUUACUAAAAACACAGGUCCGUGCGAAGCCGUAAGGCGAUGUAUACGGACUGACGCCUGCCCGGUGCUGGAACGUUAAGGGGACCGGUUAGCUCCAUUUCGGUGGGGCGAAGCUGAGAACUUAAGCGCCAGUAAACGGCGGUGGUAACUAUAACCAUCCUAAGGUAGCGAAAUUCCUUGUCGGGUAAGUUCCGACCUGCACGAAUGGCGUAACGACUUCUCGACUGUCUCAACCAUAGGCCCGGUGAAAUUGCACUACGAGUAAAGAUGCUCGUUUCGCGCAGCAGGACGGAAAGACCCCGGGACCUUUACUACAGUUUGAUAUUGGUGUUCGGUUCGGCUUGUGUAGGAUAGCUGGGAGACUGUGAAGCGCUAACGCCAGUUAGUGUGGAGUCGUCGUUGAAAUACCAGUCUGGUCGUGCUGGAUGUCUAACCUGGGUCCGUGAUCCGGAUCAGGGACAGUGUCUGAUGGGUAGUUUAACUGGGGCGGUUGCCUCCUAAAGAGUAACGGAGGCGCCCAAAGGUUCCCUCAGCCUGGUUGGCAAUCAGGUGUUGAGUGUAAGUGCACAAGGGAGCUUGACUGUGAGACCGACGGGUCGAGCAGGGACGAAAGUCGGGACUAGUGAUCCGGCGGUGGCUUGUGGAAGCGCCGUCGCUCAACGGAUAAAAGGUACCCCGGGGAUAACAGGCUGAUCUUCCCCAAGAGUCCAUAUCGACGGGAUGGUUUGGCACCUCGAUGUCGGCUCGUCGCAUCCGUGGGGCUGGAGUCGGUCCCAAGGGUUGGCUGUUCGCCCAUUAAAGCGGUACGCGAGCUGGGUUUAGAACGUCGUGAGACAGUUCGGUCCCUAUCCGCUGUGCGCGUAGGAGUCUUGAGAAGGGCUGUCCCUAGUACGAGAGGACCGGGACGGACGAACCUCUGGUGUGCCAGUUGUUCUGCCAAGGGCAUGGCUGGUUGGCUACGUUCGGGAGGGAUAACCGCUGAAAGCAUCUAAGCGGGAAGCCUGCUUCGAGAUGAGGACUCCCACCUCCUAGAGAGGGUAAGGCUCCCAGUAGACGACUGGGUUGAUAGGCCGGAUAUGGAAGCACGGUAACGUGUGGAGUUGACCGGUACUAAUAGGCCGAGGGCUUGUCCUC